UACGUAGGGGGCUAGCGUUGUUCGGAUUCAUUGGGCGUAAAGGGUGCGUAGGCGGCGCGGUAAGUCGGGUGUGAAAUCUUGGAGCUUAACUCCGAAACUGCAUUCGAUACUGCCGUGCUUGAGGACUGGAGAGGAGACUGGAAUUUACGGUGUAGCGGUGAAAUGCGUAGAUAUCGUAAGGAAGACCAGUGGCGAAGGCGGGUCUCUGGACAGUUCCUGACGCUGAGGCACGAAGGUCAGGGGAGCAAACGGG
This 253-nucleotide ribosomal RNA is filed under the name uncultured bacterium. RNAcentral's name for it is "partial 16S ribosomal RNA". It matches the Rfam family "Bacterial small subunit ribosomal RNA", at positions 524 to 776 of the family's 1533-position model. The record is from RNAcentral.